CACUGUAAUAACAAAACAAUAGUCGGUUAAUGCUCCGGCUCAUCUAAAAAUUCCGGCAGCAUGAGCAAAAACGAUUGCCGGCUGAUAGCGGAGGAGACGUCAAGCGCCACCGUUAAACGGAAGCAUAUUUACUUUGAAGAAUUUGACCAUAACAUACAAAGCGAGCGGAAAAAACGGUUGUCCUCUGGAGGCGAAAUUAAAAUCAAAACCCUAGCUUUACAAGCCGAACCGGUACGGAACCCGCCAGAUUUGAACCGUUUCCAAGCCCUCCGUCCUUGCUCGUCUUCAUCUUCAUCGUAUAGGGUGCAUAGAAAGAGGCAGAAGAGAAGCAAUUUCAGCAGCUCUGGAGCUUCUCGCCGAUGGGUCUUCUCUUCCUAUGAUUGUUCUGAUUGUAAAGAUAAAAUUGUCAUUGUUUCAUAUAAUAUACUUGGUGUGGAAAAUGUGGAAAAGCAUCCUGACUUGUAUCUAAAUGUCCCACAAAAGUUCUUGGAGUGGGAUUGGCGUAAAGACCUAAUAUGUAAGGAGGUCAAUUGUUACAAUGCGGACAUCCUGUGUUUUCAGGAGGUUGACCGCUUUAAGGAUUUGGACGAUCUGCUGUGUAAAGAUGGCUUUAAAGGUGUUUACAAGGCUCGCACAGGUGAUGCUUGUGAUGGUUGUGCUCUAUUCUGGAACCACAAAAAAUUUACCCUUUUGCAUGAAGAAAAUAUAGAUUUCCGGGAUUUUGACCUCCGUGACAAUGUUGCACAAUUUUGUGUUUUGAAGACAAAACAACAUCAACCAAAGUCUAAUUCGCAUGCAAAUCCGUCAAAGAUAAAAAAAAGGCGAAGCCGUAGAUUAUUGGUCGGAAAUAUACAUGUGUUGUUCAACCCAAACCGUGGAGAUAUAAAGCUGGGCCAGGUCCGGCUGUUUCUUGAGAAGGCUCACAAACUAUCACAAGAAUGGGGCAAUAUCCCUGUUAUACUUGUAGGGGAUUUUAACAGCAUUCCUCAGAGUGCUAUGUAUCAAUUUCUGGCAUCAUCAGAGCUCAAUACCCAACUCCAUGAUCGCCGACAGAUUUCUGGACAGCUUGAAUAUCCAUCACGGAGAAGAGAAAUUAGAGCUCAACACAAGCAUAUAUACAGGCACCGUGUUUGGACGCACGACUCCAGGCAGUUAAUGUCUUCAUGGAGUGAUGAAGAAGUAGAGCUUGCAACCGGCAAUAAACAAGUCACUCAUCUGCAACACAAAUUGAACCUUUGUAGUGCUUAUCUCAGGGCUCCUGGGAACCGCAGAACAAGAGAUAGUCAUGGAGAGCCCUUGGCAACAUCGUACCACUCCAAGUUAUGGGGACUGUAGAUUAUUAUGGCAUACGGAGGAACUUGUUCCUGUGAGAGUUCUCGACACGUUACCCAUUGAUGUAUUGAGAAGAAAUGCAAGUCUUCCUACUGAGAGGUGGGGUAGCGACCAUCUUGCUCUUGUAUGUGAAUUGGCCUUUUCUGAUGAUUUGAAGGGACCUUAAAUUGUUAUGUUUGUAUGUGAUCUGAAAAUUAUGUAGCAAUAUCCUCUUCCUCACGCAUAGGGUGAAUGCACGAGAUUGUCGGGGCACGAUAACGCUUCUCUCGGCAGAAGACGACCGAUGUACCGAAAGUAUUGGAGGGGAGCUUUGAAUUUCUUACAACUUGAGACAUUAGUUUAUGUUUUCUUGUACUUGAAAGAAUGAAAA
RNA transcript from Hibiscus syriacus, 1702 nucleotides. It is a transcript of the gene named carbon catabolite repressor protein 4 homolog 5-like, with no coding region annotated. Lineage: Eukaryota; Viridiplantae; Streptophyta; Magnoliopsida; Malvales; Malvaceae. The record is from RefSeq and is a predicted model, not a curated record. The transcript is spliced from 14 exons.